UGGAUUUUUUUUUUUUUCGUUUUGAUAUUAAAUAAGAGAAAUGGCAUAGUUGUUAAUAUUUGCAACCUUCAUCUUCCACAUUACCGAAAAAUAAUAAAUAUUUGACUAAUAAGUAGUAACUAUUACUUUAAUGGAUUUUUCUGUAUACAAUUGAAACACCUGGAUGCAUUCAAAAUGUCUAAAACUAUUGGGACCAACAGUAAACAUUAUUACCUUUUGAGACAGUUUGUUAGGCAUUCAAAUCAGGCUAGAAUUUUGGUCCUUGGCAUCGAUGAGCUAACGCCAAUUCGAACGUACAUUUUGGAUGCCUAUAAGCUGUUGAUUACAGAUCAGAAAACGAUUCAUUGAAACUCUAUUUCAAUAUUGGCCAAUUAUUUUAGAUUGUCCAUUGAGCAUCUUCUCUGUUUGAUCUCUGAUAGAAGCAUGAUUGGCGUCAAAUUGAAGCUUAUGGAAUGUAGACCAAGAUUAUCAACCCAAUCAUCAAUUUCGAUCACCAAUCGGCUGAAAAAUGCCCCAAAAACUUUGAAAAACUCAUUUUCUUUUUCUUUGUUAGCACUAAAAACUAUCACCAAAUUUGGCAUUGUCAGUCUCAUCUGAUAGCUCUCUUCACCAAGGGUUUAUAGCCACUAGAAUCACUCUAGUCAAAUAUCAGGAUCGCGGAAUAUAAAUCUCUAAAGUUUUGAACUUAUUUUCUCCCUCCUCGCACUAUCCAUCGGAAAAUGGCUCAUUUCUCUCUAAAUUUUUUGCUGGUCAACAAUGACAGGGUGAGUUGAGGUGGUCGGGCUGAUGGCGAUGGCCGGAGAAUGGUUGGUUGGCUGGAACAAGAAGGAAAGAAAGAAAGAAAUAAAGAAAGAAAG
RNAcentral lists this unclassified non-coding RNA (857 nucleotides) under Hevea brasiliensis (rubber tree). Lineage: Eukaryota; Viridiplantae; Streptophyta; Magnoliopsida; Malpighiales; Euphorbiaceae. The record is from RNAcentral.